CGGGAAAGUUUGGAGCCUCCGGGGAAACGCCGGGUCGGCGUCAGUGUAGGAGCAGUGCGGAGUGACAAAGCUGCGAUCCCUGCACAAUAAUCAGUUACGCAAACAUUUCUGCUGUUGCUUACGAGUUUCUGUUGAUGUAACCGGGGCUGAGCGUCGUUAAUAUGCCGACAGGUUAGCAGCUAAUGGAAAUAUUUGAGCCCCAUUUCUCCAGCGCGUGUUUCAGAUUAAAGUCACAGCUCCACCUGUGCACCGAGCCUCACGGAGACUGUUGCAGUACAUAUGAUUAUUUACAACAUGCAAAAUGAGGGGCUUUUAAAUGCUGUGGAAAUUAUCCACUGGAAUAUACAAUGUAUCAGACCUGCUACCCAGAUCUCAUUAAUAAAUUAGCAUUGAUACUUUAUUAACAAAGAAAAACAAGAAAGAAGAAACUGCCACGUAAGCAGCUGGAAGCAGACAAAUAUGUAAAGUAUGGACACUAUUUUCCAUACUUUAAAUGCAGAAAAAGAGCUGUGGAGCUAUUUAAUUACACAGGCAGGACCCACACGGCCCUUUUCCAUCUUACAUUACUGCAGAUCAUGUUUCAGCAGCCGUGUGCUCCUGGAUCUGUGGAUGAUGCUUUUCCAUCCUGUACAUCUGUGAAAGGUCACUCUGUUUCUCACUAGCUGUGAAAUAAUUGCAGAGCCUUUUGUAACAUGUUGUUUAUCAGUUAAAGUUAGCCAACAAGCCCCACCCACACCACCACCACAGUGCUUUAAUAUUAUAGUAGAGCAAGAAAACCUGGAAAAUUCACAUGUGAGAAAUAAAGUGGGAACGUUCGCCUGCAAAUCCACGAAUAUGUUCUCACUGUUCAGAUCCAGUUCUGGUGAAGGCAACCAGUCAUCUCUCUGAAGGGAUAUUUAGAUCUGCCUCUGUGUUAGCAUUAGCCAACUUCUCUCGACAGAUGACGGUCGAGGUCCUCAGCUCGUCGCUGUCUGAAAGCUGAAACCGUCAUAAACAGACGUUUUCGAACAGCAGGUGUGUGUGCUCACUGAUGACCAUAUAAAGGAUAUCUCCUCUCUUUGACAUCAUGAACACUGCUUUCACAUCUGCACAUCUGUAAAUAAAGUAUACCCUCCUCAUUCA
Oreochromis aureus is the source of this 1122-nucleotide long non-coding RNA. RefSeq lists it as uncharacterized. NCBI's taxonomy places the organism in Eukaryota, Metazoa, Chordata, Actinopteri, Cichliformes, Cichlidae. The record is from RefSeq and is a predicted model, not a curated record. The transcript has 3 exons.